RNAcentral lists this long non-coding RNA (4908 nucleotides) under Taeniopygia guttata (zebra finch). RNAcentral describes it as "lncRNA (ENSTGUG00000021403.1)". Lineage: Eukaryota; Metazoa; Chordata; Aves; Passeriformes; Estrildidae. The record is from RNAcentral.
UUUUUUUCCUCCACUUCUGUCUCUGCCCAACUCCGGACAGCCUACAAUGUAAAACCAAGUGCAUUUUAAAAAUACCGAAAUGAGCUACAUUGGAGAGGCACCAAUUGGAUUAAGAGAUUGUGGUUUGGGAGGCUGCAGCGGCUCUGUGCAUAGCUCUGGAGCUCUGUACACCACUCCAAGGACUCUGUGCAUUGCUCUGGAGCUCUGUACACCACUCCAAGGGCUCUGUGCAUUGCUCUGGAGCUCCGUACACCACUCCAAGGGCUCUGUGCAUAGCUCUGGAGCUCUGUACACCACUCCAAGGACUCUGUGCAUUGCUCUGGAGCUCUGUACACCACUCCAAGGGCUCUGUGCAUUGCUCUGGAGCUCCGUACACUGCUUCCAGGGCCUCUGCACAUUGUCAUCUCGCAGUUUCUCUUAAGAAUUGCUGGUGCUGUUGAGGCUGCUGCCCUCUCCUGUCCGGCCGCUCGCUGCCCGCAGCAGCUGCUGCAUCACUGCCACGUUGCAGCCUCCGUCAGCAUCUCCACGACAGCCGCUCACUGCCUGUGUCCCCGGACACGCCAGCAUCAGCCAGGGCCCAGCAGGCCCAGGACGAUGGCCUUUUGCUCCUGCAGCACUCGGCCAGCCCCUGGGGGACCCUCAUCACCCGGGUGGGGGACUCAGGGCAGGUGCUGCCCACCCUCACCAGCAGCCAGGGCCCGGCUGUGCCCCUGCCUGUCAUGGAGGACUUGGGUCCAGCACUGCCACGAGCAAUCUCCUGCUGUACAUAGAUAUUUUCGGGGUGGUUUUUAGCAUUUUCAUGGAUAAUUGGGGUUUUGGUUUGGUUUGGUUUUUUUAAAAGACUCUCAACUUUUUGGAAUGUGGUUUCUCAUUUUUACAACUGCCUUUUAAUUAUUUGUAAUAUUGGUCAGUUCUGUCUUACUCUGUAAAUAGUGGUGCUGGGCAUUUCCCAGGGGGGCUGAGACGAGGCUGGCAAGGAAUUUGUGGGGAAAAUUUGCUUGAGGUGUGGAGCUGGGUGAUUCUACUCCAGCCCCUCCAUGUAUUCUGCCCUUCCACAUGCCCAGCCUGGGGUGAAACCUGAGGUGUUUUGGGUAAAGCCACGCUUGCCCUUGCCCUGUCCUCUUGCUUCCUCUCACCAGCCCAUGCCAAGGUCGCAUGAAGGGCACCUCCUGCCCCGAUGACAGGCUCUCUGCCCACGCCAUCCUGCCCCCCUGUGUCAUGCCUGCUUGUUGUGUGAUGAAUAAAGGCCCUGCAACCCCUCGCCCCCACCCUUGGUGCUGUCUUCCCCUGCUGUGGUGGGGGGGCUGUGCUGCCUGUCCUGUCUGGGGCAGUGCUGCUGCAGAGGGAGGUGUGGGGUGACAUGAUCCUGUGCCUCUGUUCCUGCCAUCCUGCCUGCUGCCCAGCCCACACAUGGUGUCCCAUGCUCUCCUCACCCACCUGUCUGUCCCUGACACCAUCCCUACGUGCUGACCCCAGCUGUGCCACACCACCAGGGCUCCUUGUCAACUCCUCACUGCCAGCACGGCCACCCCACACCAGGCUCCCCUCAGCUCUGCAUUGUCCUCGUGAUGCUGGUGUUUGUCACAGCUGCCAUGUCCAUGCCAGCCUGCCCAGCAGCUCACCCAGCCUGCACACACACCCACAUAUCCCCCUGCCUCUGCUGCCAUGGCUCCCUGCCCUUGUGCCCCUUGGCUGGACUCGAUCACCUCAGAGAUCAUUUCCAGCCUUAAUGGUUCUGUUAUUCCCUGAUCACCUGCUGGUCCCAGCCUCCCCUAGGGUGUGCUCCAUUAAACUCCCGCCCUGAGGUCCUCCAUCACCCACCAAAACCCACCCUCUUUCUUUUGCUCUUCCAUCAUCCUUCAUGUCCCAUCCCUUUCAUCCCUGCUCUUUGAUCUGCCACGUUCCAUCCUUCUUUAUUGUGCUCUUUCAUCAACCCUAACCCAACUCAGCCCUCCUUCCUCCUUCCUGUGCUACUCCAUCCCAUUCCUCCUUCCCAUGUUCUAUCACCCACCAUACCCCAUCCCUCCUGUGCACCUUCUUUUAUGUCCAAACCCUUCUUCCACUGCUCCUCUGUUGUUCACCUGUCCCUCCUUCCUUACAGUCAUCUUCUGUGUCCCAUCCUUCCCUGCCACGCUGUGCUCCUCCAUUACCCACCGUGUCCCCUCCCACCCUCUUGUGUUCCUGAAUCCUACACUGCAUCCUAUCCCUCCUUGAUCUCCAACACCCACCACCUCCCACCCCUCCUUCCUGUGCUCCUCCACUGUCUUCCACAUCCCACCCUCCAGUGUUCCUGCCACACUUUCACCUAUCCCUCUAACCUGCUCCUUCAUUCACCAUAUCCUGUUCCUUACCUUCAUUCACCACCACCUUCUCAUGUUUUUCCUUCUUCACCUUCACCCUCCCCCAUCCACCUUGCCUUGCUUUGCCUCCAGCUUUUCCUUUCAUAUUCAUGUCAGCAGCUCACCAUCUUCUUCAGCUCCCACCGUCCUCUACAUCUUGCCACCAGUUUAUCCCUGCUUAUUCUCCAUUAGUUCCCACCUUCACCCCAACCUCCUCCACUCCUCAUCUUCUCCACAUCUUUCUUCAUCCUCUUCUUUCUUCCUAUCUCCUCUCUCAACCUUCUUCACUUCCCCAUCCCAAAAUCUACCCUCACCUCCCACCAUUUCACCAUUCUUUCAACUGCUAAUGUCACCCAAUUUUACCUUCUCCACCUCCACGUUUCCAAUCCCUCUUUGUGCUUAUCCAUUUCCCAUCUCCUUAUUCAUCCUCCUUCACUGCCUUGCAGUCUUUGUCUUCUUCUGUUCCCUUAGUCUCUCGUUCCUCCUGUCAUCCAUGUCCAUCUCCAAGAGUUUCCUCACCCCUCCUUUUCUUAUCCAUCUCCCCUCCACCUUUUUCCCCACCACCUACUAUCUAAUCUAUCCUUGGUUUUCUCUUUGAUUUUGUCAACCUUCUUCAUUCUCCACUUCCCACUGUCUUCCACCCUUCCCCGUGCCCCACACCACCCACUAUUUGCCUGUCCUUCCUCACCCUCCACUUCCUACCAUCUGCCCAGUCUCCUCAUCCUCCCCAACCUCACUGUUCAUAUUCAUUGUCCUUUCCACCAUCUUUCAUCUCCUUCACCCUCCAUCUCAUCCUUCAUCCUCCACCUCAGUUCCUCCUGUGACCCUCCACUUCCCAUUGUUCCCUGUACUUUUUCCUGCAGUUUCACCUCUUCCCUCUCCCUCUCACACUCGACACCCGGCUAUCUCUGUCAUUGUCACUGUCCUCUGUCAUUUGUCCCCCACAGUGUUCCUGUUUCUCUUUAUGCUCCUCCACUUUUCCCCGCCUUCCUAUCCCUUUUUAUCUUCUGAGUGUCCCACCAACCUCACAGAUUUCCCUCUCCACGCCUCCUUGACCUCCAGCCGUCCUUCCUCACCUCACAGCUCCCUCUCUAACUGGCCUUACAUUCUCCUUCAUCUCCUACCUCUGUCCUGACUUCCAAUCUUCUCCCAGCCUGACCUCUCCCAUUCCUCCCUGCACAUCUGACUCCAGCUACAAUUUUCUGCUUCUCUUCCCACUUCUUCUGCCUUAUAUCCCAUCCCUUACUGACCCAGGAAAGCCACUACUAACUCAGCCACCCCAAUGCACACAAUAAGAAAACAUCAGAAAAGACUUCUGGGCUAGUGCAGCUGGAACUGGUCAUAGGGGAAAAGGGGAUCACCUCUGCCCUUGGAAGGUUUCAGUAACUCAGCCAGACAAAGUCACCAGUGUCGUGAUCUAACAUUAGCAAUAACUGAUGUGGAACAUGGAGCUUGACCAGAUUCCCUUAGGAUCACUUCCAGCAAUGAAGGAUUUCCAAGAGGGGCAAGAAAGGCCAGGAAUGGCUUUGAAUUCAUUGCUUGGGAUGCUGUAGAACAUGAAGAAUUAUCCCUGCCACUUGCAGCUGCUCCAUGGUGCUCAAGCAGACCCAGCAUACACUGCUCCAGCAGGACCAUCCCAUGCUCCACAAGGACCAUCCCACUGUGCUCAAGCAGGGCCAUCCCAAGCUGCCUGAGCAGCACCACCCCAGCAGGACCAUCCCAUGCUGUUCCAGCAGGACCAUCCCACCCUGCUUGAUCAGCAGCAUCCCAAACUGCUCCAGCAGGACCUCUCCAGGCUGCUUGGGCAGGAUCAUCCAAUGUAGCUGGAGCAGAACCUUCCCAUGUUGCCCAAGCAGGACCACCCCAUGUCACUUGAGCAGGACCACUCCAGGCUGCUUGAGUACUGUGGACCAACCCAAAGAGGCUUCCUAAAAAUGCUGCCAGCUCCCAGGCCAGUGAGUGAUCCCUGAGAUGUCCCCUCAGACCCAAGAGCCAGGGAUCUUUCAUCAUUCUUGUUUUCUGUCUCUUGGGCUGGGCCCUGCAGGGCCAUCCCCUUUCCAACAGCCUUGUGGCUGCAGUAGGGCACCAGGCUGCUGGCAGUGCUGCCAAGGGGGGGACAGGUUGUCUCUCCCUGCCAAGGGAGCUCCAAACCCUGCAGGAUCUGCAUGCAGGGCCUUUUCAGAGCACCCCGUGUCCCUCGCACAAGGGCCAGCCAGCCUCACCUCCCUGAAGACUCUGCCUUGCCAUGUAGGAGGCUGCCAGCCAUCCCAUGGAGGGGAGGAUGCCCUUUCCUAGGGGAUGUCCCACUGCAGGGACAGGGCACCCAGUGUCUUUACAGGGUGGGUGUGACAUUUGUAAAGCAUUCCUGCCCAUAUGCCUUCCUGGCUGGGAAAUCUGGGGGAGGGUGGAGGGAAUUUGCUACCUGUGUUAGGAACUAGCUGAACUUACAUGUCUCCCCAAGCUGGAUUUCUUAUUCCAAAUGUUCAAACUGUUGUAUAUUGUACUGGGAUUUUUACAUUGAAUUAUUGUAGAAAACAAAAAUUUAAACCAAGUCUGUUAAAAAAUAAAA